AACGGCCAUACCAUGCUGAAUAUACCGGUUCUCGUUAGAUCACCGAGUCAAGCAUCAUUGGGCGCGCGGUCAGUACUUGGGUGGGUGACCACCUGGGAACACGGCAUGCUGUU
Molecule: non-coding RNA, 113 nt
Organism: Caerostris extrusa
Lineage: Eukaryota; Metazoa; Arthropoda; Arachnida; Araneae; Araneidae
Source: the annotation of a GenBank genome assembly